RNAcentral lists this ribosomal RNA (797 nucleotides) under uncultured bacterium. RNAcentral's name for it is "bacterial SSU rRNA". It matches the Rfam family "Bacterial small subunit ribosomal RNA", at positions 8 to 796 of the family's 1533-position model. The record is from RNAcentral.
AGAGUUUGAUCAUGGCUCAGGAUGAACGCUAGCGGCAGGCCUAAUACAUGCAAGUCGAACGAGAGUCGCAAGACUCUAGUGGCGCACGGGUGCGUAACACGUAGGUAACCUACCUUUUACCGGGGGAUAACGCUGGGAAACCAGCGCUAAUACCGCAUGAGACAACACAGGGGCAUCCCUUAGUUGUGAAAGACUCUCUGCAAGGGGAGCUUGGUAAAAGAUGGGCCUGCGCCUGAUUAGUUAGUUGGUGGUGUAACAGACCACCAAGACUUUGAUCAGUAGGGGUUCUGAGAGGAAGAUCCCCCACACUGGCACUGAGAUACGGGCCAGACUCCUACGGGAGGCAGCAGUAGGGAAUAUUGGGCAAUGGAGGGAAACUCUGACCCAGCCAUGCCGCGUGCAGGAAGAAGGCGCUCAGCGUUGUAAACUGCUUUUGCCCGGGAAGAAUGCCUAGUACGCGUACUAGAGUUGACGGUACCGGGUGAAUAAGCACCGGCUAACUCCGUGCCAGCAGCCGCGGUAAUACGGAGGGUGCAAGCGUUGUCCGGAUUUAUUGGGUUUAAAGGGUGCGUAGGUGGCUUGUUAAGUCCGGGGUGAAAGGCAGUGGCUCAACCACAUGCAGUGCCCUGGAUACUGGCAGGCUCGAGUAAGUUUGAGGCCGGUGGAACGGGUGGUGUAGCGGUGAAAUGCAUAGAUACCAUCCAGAACACCGAUUGCGGAGGCAGCCGGCUAAGACUUUACUGACACUGAGGCACGAAAGCGUGGGGAGCAAACAGGAUUAGAUACCCUAGUAGUCC